This 253-nucleotide ribosomal RNA is filed under the name uncultured bacterium. RNAcentral's name for it is "partial 16S ribosomal RNA". It matches the Rfam family "Bacterial small subunit ribosomal RNA", at positions 524 to 776 of the family's 1533-position model. The record is from RNAcentral.
UACGUAGGGGGCAAGCGUUGUUCGGAUUCAUUGGGCGUAAAGGGUGCGUAGGUGGCGUGGUAAGUCUGGUGUGAAAUCCCGGGGCUCAACCCCGGAACUGCACUGGAUACUGCCAUGCUUGAGUACUGGAGAGGAGAUUGGAAUUUACGGUGUAGCAGUGAAAUGCGUAGAUAUCGUAAGGAAGACCAGUGGCGAAGGCGAAUCUCUGGACAGUUACUGACACUGAGGCACGAAGGCCAGGGGAGCAAACGGG